UGCUCCUAGGGUGACGAGUGGCGGACGGGUGACUAAUGUCUGGGAAACUGCCCGAUGGACGGGGAUAACUACUGGAAACGGUAGCUAAUACCGCAUAACGUCACAAGACCAGAGAUGGGGACCUUCUGGCCUCUUGCCAUCGGAUGUGCCCAAAUGGGAUUAGCUAGUAGGUGGGGUAACGGCUCGCCUAGGCGACUAUCCCUACCUGGUCUGAGAGGAUGACCAGCCACACUGGAACUGAGACACGGUCCAUACUCCUACGGGAGGCAGCAGUGGGGAAUAUUGCACAAUGGGCGCAAGCCUGAUGCAGCCAUGCCGCGUGUAUGAACAAGGCCUUCGGGUUGUAAAGUACUUUCAGCGAGGAGGAAGGUGUUGUGGUUAAUAACUGCAGCAAUUGACGUUACUCGCAAAAAAAGCACCGGCUAACUCCGUGCCAGCAGCCGCGGUAAUACGGAGGGUGCAAGCGUUAAUCGGAAUUACUGGGCGUAAAGCGCACGCAGGCGGUCUGUCAAGUCGGAUGUGAAAUCCCCGGGCUCAACCUGGGAACUGCAUCCGAAACUGGCAGGCUAAAGUCUUGUAAAGGGGGGUAUAAUUCCAGGUGUAUCGGUGAAAUGCAUAUAGAUCUGGAGGAAUACCGGUGGCGAAGGCGGCCCCCUGGACACAGACUGACGCUCACGUGCGAAAGCGUGGGGAGCAAACAGGAUUACAUACCCUGGUAGUCCACGCCGUAAACUAUGUCGACUUGUAGGUUGUGCCCUUGAUGCGUGGCUUCCCGUAGCUAACACGUUAAGUCGACCGCCUGGGGGAGUACCGCCCGCAAUGUUACAACUCGAAUUUAAUUGACGGGGGGCCCGCACCAGCCGGGGGAGCAUGUUGGUUUUAAUUCAAUGCAACAACGAAACAUCCCUUACCUACUCUUGACAUCCAAAAGUAGUUUGCCAAAAAAUGCCGAUGGUGCCUUCCAGGAAAAAUAAAAACAGGUGCUGCAUGGUUGGUCAUCAACCUCUUCUUCGUCAA
RNAcentral lists this ribosomal RNA (1017 nucleotides) under Citrobacter freundii. Its description in RNAcentral is "bacterial SSU rRNA". It matches the Rfam family "Bacterial small subunit ribosomal RNA", at positions 77 to 1071 of the family's 1533-position model. The record is from RNAcentral. Lineage: Bacteria; Pseudomonadati; Pseudomonadota; Gammaproteobacteria; Enterobacterales; Enterobacteriaceae.